RNAcentral lists this microRNA precursor (54 nucleotides) under Schmidtea mediterranea. RNAcentral describes it as "Sme-Mir-2169_pre stem-loop". Lineage: Eukaryota; Metazoa; Platyhelminthes; Tricladida; Dugesiidae. The record is from RNAcentral.
AACUUUGAAAUUCGAUCUGAUAUAAAAUAUUAUAAGCUCGAUAUUUAAAGUGGU